This 498-nucleotide ribosomal RNA is filed under the name uncultured bacterium. RNAcentral describes it as "partial 16S ribosomal RNA". It matches the Rfam family "Bacterial small subunit ribosomal RNA", at positions 28 to 523 of the family's 1533-position model. The record is from RNAcentral.
GAUGAACGCUAGCGGCAGGCCUAAUACAUGCAAGUCGGACGGGAUUGAGAAGCUUGCUUUUCAUGAGAGUGGCGCACGGGUGCGUAACACGUAUGUAACCUACCUUAAUCAGGGGGAUAGCCUCUCGAAAGAGAGAUUAACACCGCAUAAAAUCAAUUUAUAGCAUCAUAGAAUGAUCAAAUUUUUAUAGGAUUAAGAUGGGCAUGCGGAACAUUAGCUAGUUGGUAAGGUAACGGCUUACCAAGGCUACGAUGUGUAGGGGAUCUGAGAGGGUGACCCCCCACACUGGUACGGAGACACGGACCAGACUCCUACGGGAGGCAGCAGUAAGGAAUAUUGGUCAAUGGGCGCAAGCCUGAACCAGCCAUGCCGCGUGCAGGAAGACGGCCCUACGGGUUGUAAACUGCUUUUGUACCGGAAUAAACCUUUGUAUGUAUACGAAGCUGAAUGUACGGUAAGAAUAAGGAUCGGCUAACUCCGUGCCAGCAGCCGCCGUAA